AGGUUUUCCCAUGCAAAUAUGCAUGUCAAAAACCUUACUUAGAUGCUUAAUUCCUUCUUUAAAUCAUAGGGCAUGCAAAAUCUGUGAGGAGCAUGUGAAACAUUGAGGUUCAUCUGAGCAGCAACACCACCAGUGAGAGACAGGAGAGAGAGAGCUGGGCAUCUUCUGUUUUUGCUACAUUGCAGUUGUCUGUGCUGUGUCGCGGUGUCCCUCUCCUGGUAUGACCCUCCGGAACUUCUCAGUGAGAUUUGGAGGUAUGCCUUAUUCUUCUGUCACUUAACAUUUUACUGUAAUUCCUGUUUUUCAGCACGCGUGCAAAUGCUACAAUAUACAGCAGCAUUCUCACCUGCACCCCUGCCCAAGGAAAAGGUUUGCUGUAGCAGCUGGACGGUACUGAUCCGGUCCUAGAGGAUAGGUCCUAGGAUAUUAGUACAUGCAAGUAUUUGUAAUGGGGCAACAGAGGCAGCAAGUGCAAAAACUGGAUUCAGGUGACAGUCUGAGGUUUUACUUAUAGGAAAAAAGGCACAGGGCUCCCUUGUAAUUUACCUGCUUGAGAAAACCUGUGCUUUGGCCAGAAAAAAUCAAAGCCUGGAUAGUCCACUAACUGGCAGUGAAAGGCUGGCUUAAAAUAGCUCUGUGUCCUUGUCUCGAGAUAUUUCACAAGGGGAAAUGACUUGAGCGUGUCAGUAGUGAUGUGGAUAAUCAAAGCUGUACUUUUUAAACAUAUUUUCCUUACCUAAAGGUCAAAAGAGCAAGAUACCUCUGGUGCUUUUAC
This 775-nucleotide long non-coding RNA is filed under the name Struthio camelus australis. Its description in RNAcentral is "lncRNA (ENSSCUG00000017855.1)". Lineage: Eukaryota; Metazoa; Chordata; Aves; Struthioniformes; Struthionidae. The record is from RNAcentral.